UUGGAGGGCAAGUCUGGUGCCAGCAGCCGCGGUAAUUCCAGCUCCAAUAGCGUAUAUUAAAGUUGUUGCAGUUAAAAAGCUCGUAGUUGAAUUUCGGAGUUUGUCGGUUGGUCGGGCUCCAUUGUCCGCACUGGCCUGAUGGAUUCCUACCUUCUGAAUAACCAGCAUGCUAUUAAGUUAGUGCGUUGGGGAAGCAGAGCUAUUACCUUGAAAAAAUUAGAGUGCUUAAAGCGGGCUUAUGCUUGAAUAGAUUAGCAUGGAAUAAUAAAAUAGGACGGCAUGGUUCUAUUUUGUUGGUUUCUAGGAUCACCGUAAUGAUUAAUAGGGAUAGUUGGGGGCAUUAGUAUUCAAUUGUCAGAGGUGAAAUUCUUGGAUUUAUUGAAGACUAACUUCUGCGAAAGCAUUUGCCAAGGAUGUUUUCAUUAAUCAAGAACGAAAGUUAGGGGAUCGAAGACGAUCAGAUACCGUCGUAGUCUUAACCAUAAACUAUGCCGACUAGGGAUCGGACGAUGUUAAUUUUUUAAUGACUCGUUCGGCGCCUUACGGGAAAC
This 551-nucleotide ribosomal RNA is filed under the name uncultured Glomeromycotina. RNAcentral describes it as "SSU rRNA". It matches the Rfam family "Eukaryotic small subunit ribosomal RNA", at positions 548 to 1098 of the family's 1831-position model. The record is from RNAcentral. Lineage: Eukaryota; Fungi; Glomeromycota.